This 930-nucleotide ribosomal RNA is filed under the name Triticum aestivum (bread wheat). RNAcentral's name for it is "partial small subunit ribosomal RNA". The record is from RNAcentral. Lineage: Eukaryota; Viridiplantae; Streptophyta; Magnoliopsida; Poales; Poaceae.
AUGGAGGGGGGCAGCAACAGCCCGGACAGGCAGUCGUCGGGCGGCAGCCCGGACGAGCGCCGCAGCGGAGGGAGGGGGGCGGGGGAGCCGGUGCGCUCGCGGUGGACGCCCAAGCCGGAGCAGAUACUCAUCCUCGAGUCCAUCUUCAACAGCGGCAUGGUCAACCCGCCCAAGGACGAGACCGUCCGCAUCCGCAAGCUGCUCGAGCGCUUCGGCGCCGUCGGCGACGCCAACGUCUUCUACUGGUUCCAGAACCGUCGUUCCCGCUCACGCCGCCGCCAGCGCCAGAUGCAGGCCGCAGCCGCCGCGGCCGCAGCAGCAGCAGCAGCAGCCUCCUCCGCCACCGCCAAUAGCUUGCCGGCUGCUAGCGCCACCAUCGGUCUUCCAUCCGGCACCGGCUCCGUUCACCCCAUGGCAAUCGGUGGGUGCGCGAGCCAGUACGAGCAGCAGGCGACCUCGUCGUCCUCGUCUGGAAGCACGGGAGGCUCGUCGCUGGGGCCUUUCGCGGCGCACGGCGCGGGGGUGCCGGGUGCCGGCGUUGGGUACCUGCAGGCAUCGUGCGGGACAUCGUCGCCGCUGGCGUCAGGGCUGAUGGCGGACGUCGACACCGGCGGCAGCGACGAUCUCUUCGCCAUCUCGCGUCAGAUGGGAUUCGUUGGGAGCCCCGCCGGACCCUCCUCCUCGGCGCCGAGCACCGCUGUGCAGCAGCAGUACUACUCGUGCCAGUUACCGGCAGCGACGAUCACGGUGUUCAUCAACGGAGUCCCAAUGGAGGUCCCGAGGGGUCCAAUAGACUUGCGAGCCAUGUUUGGCCAGGACGUGGUGCUCCUCCACUCCACCGGGACCCUCCUCCCAGUCAACGACUAUGGCAUUCUGAUUCAGAGCUUGCAAAUGGGAGAAAGCUAUUUUCUGGUCUCGAGGCAAACUUAA